This is a non-coding RNA of Xiphias gladius (swordfish), 884 nucleotides long. Lineage: Eukaryota; Metazoa; Chordata; Actinopteri; Istiophoriformes; Xiphiidae. The record is from the annotation of a RefSeq genome assembly.
UAAGCGUAAUUUUGCAGUUGUCAGUUUUCUAAAUGAAGUCUGGAUAGUCUGCUGAGUUUGUGUCAUGGAGCUUUAUGCUGUGUGACUGAUGGAAGUGGAUAUAAAAUGAUCUUUGGAAGUGGAACCAGAUUAACCAUUGAACCCGGGGAGGAUUACAGCCCGUCCUACUACAAAGUGUCAAAUAAUGAGACCACUGCAUGUCUGGCCACUGGUUUCAGCCGAGUCAAUGCAACGCACGACCAUGAAAGCUAUGAAAAUAAAUUUAGUUUGAUAGAGUCCGUUCGGAUAUCAGAAGACUCUCUGUACAACGCGGCUGUGUUGCUAGAUGAUGAUGGAGGAAGAUGUGAGGAAAGCGGUACCCAGUCUCAACCUUGUAUAGCUCAGGAGCGAGAUCAGAAGGUGAACCUCAUGUCUCUGACCAUCCUGGGACUCAGACUGCUCUUCCUCAAGACCAUCGUCUUCAACGUACUGAUGACUCUGAGGCUGUGGAUCAGUCAAUGAACUCGGCAGAACUUCACCAGAAAAACGAAUUCACAAACGGCUCUCUGAUCAGUCAGAUGAAACAUGGAGUCGUCGGUCCGCUGCAUUUCUGAUACUUCUGAAUCCUGUGAGACAACACGUAUAAAAAUCACGUCGCCUGUUCAUCAUGCACCUGUUAAUAUCAUCAUAUUGUCGCCACACAGAGGUUAUCCUGUAAUACAUGUAGUGUUUAUUCAUUUGUAGAAGUUUAACGGUUUUUUGGUCAUAUUGUCAGUGAUGUUGUUUUUUGAUGAAGGAGUUUUUACUCUUUCUGUCCUGCCGAUGUAAAUAUCACAGUUAGACGUCCCGCUUUCAGUAUUACACUCCAGAAAACCUGUGUGACGUUGUUAAAUAAAGUUUGUAAA